This 250-nucleotide ribosomal RNA is filed under the name uncultured bacterium. RNAcentral's name for it is "partial 16S ribosomal RNA". It matches the Rfam family "Bacterial small subunit ribosomal RNA", at positions 524 to 773 of the family's 1533-position model. The record is from RNAcentral.
UACGUAGGGGGCGAGCGUUGUCCGGAAUCAUUGGGCGUAAAGCGCGUGUAGGCGGCUUGGUAAGUCUGGUGUGAAACCUCGGGGCUCAACCCCGAGCCUGCACUGGAUACUGCCUCGCUCGAGUCCGGGAGGGGAGAGCGGAAUUCCUAGUGUAGCGGUGAAAUGCGCAGAUAUUAGGAAGAACACCGGUGGCGAAGGCGGCUCUCUGGAACGGUACUGACGCUGAGACGCGAAAGCGUGGGGAGCAAAC